AACAGUUAGUCAAGAACUGCAGUUGGUCCAUGUAAUAUCAUCAGUCAACUAUGCUGGCAUUUGUGCUGAUAGUCAGGCAUGAACUAGCGAAAUACUGAAAGAGUUAGCAGUGGCAUACAAGUAGUAUCCCAACCCUUCACCUGGAAGAAAAACAAAAUACAUUUAAUCACAUAAUAGUCACCACCACAACAGUUUCUACUUAAACCAUUGGACAAUCGAGGCCCUUGUAAAAAAACAUUGUGACCCCUGUUAUCAGAUAUGCUUUGAGAGAUUUGUGUUGAUCCUGGUUCUCCUGGAAAGUCUUUUCCGAAUGGUCAACUCCUGGGAUACUAAUCACACCAGAAAGAUCAAAAUGUCUGAAAAGGAGUGGGAGGAACGUAUCCAGUCAUUCUGAAUCCGAAAAGCUGAUCCAGCCGUCUCUAUCAUAAUAAUCACUGAAUUGACAUAAUUCAGCAUGACAUGGCUAUCAGAAGAGAUUUUCAUAUUAAUAAACUUUCCAAGUUCUAUCUUUAAAAAAUCUGAUUUUUGCAAUCAGCAAAAAUCCAAUUUUGUGGAAAAUUGCUCCGUUUUAAUUCUGAGACAGAAGAGUAUGAUUUUAAAAUCUUUUGAUGGGUGCAUUGGAAAUUCCAAUCGACAUGGAAUCAACAGCUUUUUACUCACUAUACUUCUGUAAUACAAACAAUUUGAAUAAAGACCUGCUAUAAAACUC
Long non-coding RNA from Anolis carolinensis (green anole), 709 nucleotides. RefSeq lists it as uncharacterized. NCBI's taxonomy places the organism in Eukaryota, Metazoa, Chordata, Lepidosauria, Squamata, Anolidae. The transcript has 4 exons. The record is from RefSeq and is a predicted model, not a curated record.